AAGUCGAGCGGCAGCACGGGUACUUGUACCUGGUGGCGAGCGGCGGACGGGUGAGUAAUGCCUAGGAAUCUGCCUGGUAGUGGGGGAUAACGCUCGGAAACGGACGCUAAUACCGCAUACGUCCUACGGGAGAAAGCAGGGGACCUUCGGGCCUUGCGCUAUCAGAUGAGCCUAGGUCGGAUUAGCUAGUUGGUGAGGUAAUGGCUCACCAAGGCGACGAUCCGUAACUGGUCUGAGAGGAUGAUCAGUCACACUGGAACUGAGACACGGUCCAGACUCCUACGGGAGGCAGCAGUGGGGAAUAUUGGACAAUGGGCGAAAGCCUGAUCCAGCCAUGCCGCGUGUGUGAAGAAGGUCUUCGGAUUGUAAAGCACUUUAAGUUGGGAGGAAGGGCAGUUACCUAAUACGUGAUUGUUUUGACGUUACCGACAGAAUAAGCACCGGCUAACUCUGUGCCAGCAGCCGCGGUAAUACAGAGGGUGCAAGCGUUAAUCGGAAUUACUGGGCGUAAAGCGCGCGUAGGUGGUUUGUUAAGUUGGAUGUGAAAUCCCCGGGCUCAACCUGGGAACUGCAUCCAAAACUGGCAAGCUAGAGUAUGGUAGAGGGUGGUGGAAUUUCCUGUGUAGCGGUGAAAUGCGUAGAUAUAGGAAGGAACACCAGUGGCGAAGGCGACCACCUGGACUGAUACUGACACUGAGGUGCGAAAGCGUGGGGAGCAAACAGGAUUAGA
This 730-nucleotide ribosomal RNA is filed under the name Pseudomonas sp. YIM119. RNAcentral's name for it is "bacterial SSU rRNA". It matches the Rfam family "Bacterial small subunit ribosomal RNA", at positions 59 to 782 of the family's 1533-position model. The record is from RNAcentral. Lineage: Bacteria; Pseudomonadati; Pseudomonadota; Gammaproteobacteria; Pseudomonadales; Pseudomonadaceae.